This 466-nucleotide ribosomal RNA is filed under the name uncultured bacterium. RNAcentral's name for it is "bacterial SSU rRNA". It matches the Rfam family "Bacterial small subunit ribosomal RNA", at positions 29 to 490 of the family's 1533-position model. The record is from RNAcentral.
UUGAACGCUGGCGGCGUGCCUAACACAUGCAAGUCGAGCGGUAACAGGUGUAGCAAUACAUGCUGACGAGCGGCGGACGGGUGAGUAACGCUUGGGAAUCUGCCUGAUAGUGGGGGACAACCCGGGGAAACUCGGGCUAAUACCGCAUACGCACUACGGUGGAAAGCCGGGGACCGCAAGGCCUGGCGCUAUCAGAUGAGCCCAAGUCGGAUUAGCUAGUUGGUAGGGUAACGGCCUACCAAGGCGACGAUCCGUAACUGGUCUGAGAGGACGACCAGUCACACCGGAACUGAGACACGGUCCGGACUCCUACGGGAGGCAGCAGUGGGGAAUAUUGCGCAAUGGCCGAAAGGCUGACGCAGCAACACCGUGUGGGUGACGAAGGCCCUAGGGUCGUAAAGCCCUGUUGUUGGGGACGAAGGGCGAAGGGUUAAUAGCCCCUAGCCUGACGGUACCUUCGAGGAAG